Molecule: ribosomal RNA, 729 nt
Filed under: uncultured bacterium
Lineage: Bacteria
Description: bacterial SSU rRNA
Rfam family: Bacterial small subunit ribosomal RNA
Source: RNAcentral
CCUUCGGGUCUCUAGUGGCGAACGGGUGAGUAACACGUAGGGAACCUGCCCGCGCACCGGGAAUACGCUCUGGAAACGGAGAACAAAUCCCGAUGUACAGGAAGGAGGCAUCUUCUUUCUGUGAAACAUCCUUUAGGGGAUGGGGCGCGGAUGGACCUGCGGUGCAUUAGUUUGUUGGCGGGGUAAAGGCCCACCAAGACGAUGAUGCAUAGCCGGCCUGAGAGGGCGGACGGCCACAUUGGGACUGAGACACGGCCCAGACUCCUGCGGGAGGCAGCAGUAGGGAAUUUUCGUCAAUGGGCGCAAGCCUGAACGAGCGAUGCCGCGUGAGUGAAGAAGGCCUUCGGGUCGUAAAGCUCUGUUGCGGGGGAAAAAAGGCAGCAUCAGGAAAUGGGUGCUGACUGAUGGUGCCCCGCCAGAAAGUCACGGCUAACUACGUGCCAGCAGCCGCGGUAAUACGUAGGUGGCGAGCGUUAUCCGGAAUGAUUGGGCGUAAAGGGUGCGCAGGCGGUCCUGCAAGUCUGGAGUGAAACGCAUGAGCUCAACUCAUGCAUGGCUUUGGAAACUGGGGGACUGGAGAGCAGGAGAGGGCGGUGGAACUCCAUGUGUAGCGGUAAAAUGCGUAGAUAUAUGGAAGAACACCAGUGGCGAAGGCGGCCGCCUGGCCUGUUGCUGACGCUGGGGCACGAAAGCGUGGGGAGCAAAUAGGAUUAGAUACCCUAGUAGUCC